This 478-nucleotide ribosomal RNA is filed under the name uncultured bacterium. RNAcentral describes it as "bacterial SSU rRNA". It matches the Rfam family "Bacterial small subunit ribosomal RNA", at positions 34 to 507 of the family's 1533-position model. The record is from RNAcentral.
CGCUAGCGGCGUGCUUAAGCUAUGCAAGUCGAGCGAGGUCCAACACUGAAGUUCCUUCGGGAGCCGAUGUGUUGAAACCUAGCGGCAAACGGGUGAGUAACACGUGAACAACCUACCCCGCCGUCUGGGAUAACUGAUCGAAAGGCCAGCUAAUACCAGAUAUGAAGCCUCUUUGCAUGAAGAGGCUUGGAAAGAGGCAACUCACGACGGGAGGGGUUCGCGUCCUAUCAGCUAGUUGGUGAGGUAACGGCUCACCAAGGCGACAACGGGUAGCCGACCUGAGAGGGUGACCGGCCACACUGGGACUGAGACACGGCCCAGACUCCUACGGGAGGCAGCAAGCGGGAAUAUUGCACAAUGGGCGAAAGCCUGAUGCAGCGACGCCGCGUGAGGGAUGAAAGCCUUCGGGUUGUAAACCUCUGUUGACGGGGACGAAGAUCUGACGGUACCCGUCCAGAAAGCCCCGGCUAACUCCGUG